This 497-nucleotide ribosomal RNA is filed under the name uncultured bacterium. Its description in RNAcentral is "partial 16S ribosomal RNA". It matches the Rfam family "Bacterial small subunit ribosomal RNA", at positions 28 to 507 of the family's 1533-position model. The record is from RNAcentral.
GAUGAACGCUGGCGGCGUGCCUAAUACAUGCAAGUCGAGCGAACAGACGAGGAGCUUGCUCCUCUGACGUUAGCGGCGGACGGGUGAGUAACACGUGGAUAACCUACCUAUAAGACUGGGAUAACUUCGGGAAACCGGAGCUAAUACCGGAUAAUAUAUUGAACCGCAUGGUUCAAUAGUGAAAGACGGUUUUGCUGUCACUUAUAGAUGGAUCCGCGCCGCAUUAGCUAGUUGGUAAGGUAACGGCUUACCAAGGCAACGAUGCGUAGCCGACCUGUGAGGGUGAUCGGCCACACUGGAACUGAGACACGGUCCAGACUCCUACGGGAGGCAGCAGUAGGGAAUCUUCCGCAAUGGGCGAAAGCCUGACGGAGCAACGCCGCGUGAGUGAUGAAGGUCUUCGGAUCGUAAAACUCUGUUAUUAGGGAAGAACAAAUGUGUAAGUAACUAUGCACGUCUUGACGGUACCUAAUCAGAAAGCCACGGCUAACUACGUG